This 329-nucleotide unclassified non-coding RNA is filed under the name soil metagenome. RNAcentral's name for it is "partial contains 5.8S ribosomal RNA, internal transcribed spacer 2, and large subunit ribosomal RNA". The stretch from base 1 to 120 matches the Rfam family "5.8S ribosomal RNA", at positions 35 to 154 of the family's 154-position model. The record is from RNAcentral.
GAUGAAGAACGCAGCGAAAUGCGAUAAGUAAUGUGAAUUGCAGAAUUCAGUGAAUCAUCGAAUCUUUGAACGCACAUUGCGCCCUCUGGUAUUCCGGGGGGCAUGCCUGUUCGAGCGUCAUUAUAACCACUCAAGCUCUCGCUUGGUAUUAGGGCUCGCGGUUCCGCGGCCCCUAAAAUCAGUGGCGGUGCCUGUCGGCUCUACGCGUAGUAAUACUCCUCGCGAUUGAGUCCGGUAGGUCUACUUGCCAACAACCCCCAAUUUUUACAGGUUGACCUCGGAUCAGGUAGGGAUACCCGCUGAACUUAAGCAUAUCAAUAAGCGGAGGA